GCAGUCACACUAACGCCCUGAGGAGUGUUAAAAUUCAGCUCGAGAGGCACUUAGUGUCACAGAAGCCUAGAUAAAGAUACAAGAUUUCAAGCAGGAAGAAAUAAUAAAAAAUAAAGAGGCAGGACUUCAAGUGUCCUGUGAAACAGAGCACUCGGCCUCCGGCAUACGCAUCCAUGGGAGACGGCUCAACUUCUUUAUAAAGUGAGGAACCAAAUUGUGAAGACAUCUGUUCUGUUAUUAAUUUCACAUACAUCUUAAGCUCCUCAAGGCCAGAAAUGAGGCUUCAUUCACGUCGAAUUAAUGAAACAUGAUUGUUCAAGGGGAUAGAUUUUUACACGAAUAUGUCAUGGCUCCGGACUGAACUGUAAAAUUCUAGGGGUCAGGGAAUAGAAUCCAUUUGUUCAUUUUUCUCUGCAGAACCUAACAAAAUAAGUAUUUGUUGAUUACAUCGUAAAUUUGGGGAUUAGAAAUGUCUUUAAAAUUUUGAUCAAGUUACUUCAAACUCUGGAAACACUGUUUUAUCAUAUCUGGGCUGAGUGUAAUAACAUUUUAAGGAUUAAUGAAACGUUGGGCAGUUCUUGUGUUAUUUGGCUAUUGCAGGAAGCAAAUCAUAAGGCAAAAACAUUUAUAAAAUACAAAAUAAUGAUUUAUACAGUAAGUUAUACUCCCUCAGGCAAAGAUGUUAUAUAAACCACAAAGUAUUUGGCCACUGUAACACAUUUAAGAUGUCUUAAAUACCAUGAGAUUUAUAAAUAUUUUUAAUAGUUAAACAAAUUUAACUUUGAAAGUUACCUAAUAUUCAAUGAGCUUUGAGGUUGGAACUUGUUUUUCUUUUUUUGCAUUUGAAUGUGCUUCAUUUAGGUUGAUGCAAGCAAGUUAGUGUGGGUACUUAAUAGCAUAUCAUAAAGGAUUUAACUUAAUUCCACCAUAAUGAAUUAAUUCUCUCAGUGACACUGUUUUCAUUAUAGAUUUAAUGACAUCACCUUGGCUAAGAUUCAGGAAUUCAGAACGCUGAGUUACCCUGAACUAUCUAAAAAUGAAAAUGGAAAGAUAAUUCUGCUCCAUGUCUGGUGUACUCCAACUGCGGAUAAGGUGCCCUUUAGGGCCUUAAAGGACAGGAACAAAGUAUGGCGGUUUGUCAUCAGAGCUCCAGGAAGCCACGAGGAAACAGAUCUUAGGAACCGAAUUGCUCAAGAUGGGAAAGAAAUGAAGAAACGUGCAGCAGAUGCUCCCAGCCUGGACAUGUAACCUUCAAGAAGAAGGGCCAACCAGUCAUGCUAAUUGGUCUUGAACAAUGGCUGUUUGCACUGGGAGAUGAGAGAGAGCGCCCUGUUUCUUCCUGAUUCCCUUCUAUAGACAUCUUUCCAGGAUUUGAAAUUGAUAAUUGUAGACACAAAGAUACACUUGGCCUACUUUGCCAGCCUAUUUGGAAUCAAAUGGGUGUCACCCUGCAUGUCUGGUACAUGUGCAGAUGGUUUCUGGCGGCUUCAAUAAAAUCAGAAAACACAAAAUCUGUAUUUGUUUUUUUUUCCAGAUAAUUGAAAGGAGCUGGUUGUCAGUGCCCUUGGUGUUGACAUGAAAAAUGUUAUGCUGAUUUUUUAGAAGUGUUCGUUAUGCUUACAGUCCCGUAAUACUGCUAAACUC
Sapajus apella (tufted capuchin) is the source of this 1644-nucleotide long non-coding RNA. RefSeq lists it as uncharacterized. The transcript is spliced from 4 exons. NCBI's taxonomy places the organism in Eukaryota, Metazoa, Chordata, Mammalia, Primates, Cebidae. The record is from RefSeq and is a predicted model, not a curated record.